This 73-nucleotide transfer RNA is filed under the name Ailuropoda melanoleuca (giant panda). It matches the Rfam family "tRNA". From Rfam's summary of the family: Transfer RNA (tRNA) molecules are approximately 80 nucleotides in length. Their secondary structure includes four short double-helical elements and three loops (D, anti-codon, and T loops). The record is from Rfam by way of RNAcentral. Lineage: Eukaryota; Metazoa; Chordata; Mammalia; Carnivora; Ursidae.
ACCUGGCUGGCUCAAUUGGUAGAGUAUGCAGCUCUUGAUCUCAGGGUCAUGAGUUUGAGCCUCAUGUUGGGUG